AGAACGAACGCUGGCGGCAUGCCUAACACAUGCAAGUCGGACGCUUUCGGGGGUUUCGGCCUCCGAGGGAGUGGCGGACGGGUGAGUAGCGCGUGGGAACCUGCCCCUUUGUGGGGGAUAACCGAGGGAAACUUCGGCUAAUACCGCAUGCGCCCGGGGGUAACUCCGGGGAAAGAUUUAUCGCAGAGGGAGGGGCCCGCGUCGGAUUAGGUAGUUGGUGGGGUAACGGCCCACCAAGCCUGUGAUCCGUAGCUGGUCUGAGAGGAUGAUCAGCCACACUGGGACUGAGACACGGCCCAGACUCCUACGGGAGGCAGCAGUGGGGAAUAUUGGACAAUGGGCGCAAGCCUGAUCCAGCAAUGCCGCGUGAGUGAUGAAGGCCUUAGGGUUGUAAAGCUCUUUCGCCCGCGACGAUGAUGACGGUAGCGGGAGAAGAAGCCCCGGCUAACUUCGUGCCAGCAGCCG
This 465-nucleotide ribosomal RNA is filed under the name uncultured bacterium. Its description in RNAcentral is "SSU rRNA". It matches the Rfam family "Bacterial small subunit ribosomal RNA", at positions 26 to 517 of the family's 1533-position model. The record is from RNAcentral.